Molecule: unclassified non-coding RNA, 256 nt
Filed under: Hevea brasiliensis (rubber tree)
Lineage: Eukaryota; Viridiplantae; Streptophyta; Magnoliopsida; Malpighiales; Euphorbiaceae
Source: RNAcentral
AAAAUAGCUUUGAUAGGAUUAGCCUUUAGUAGAUUUUCCAAUCCAGAUUUGAAAUCUAAGCUAAUGAUAUCCAAUUGCAAACCAUAGCUAGAGGCUGUAUCAUAGGUAAAAGAAUUGAUUUCGGGGAAAGCAGAAUUGCUUUCAAAAUAUAUUGUGUGAAUCGGAAAACUAGUUAGACCCCUAUCAGAACAGCUGUGUCUCUCUUUAUGCCAAAAAUAGCCGGCCCUAAGCAAGUGCAACAAAACCGUUGAAUCCU